This is a non-coding RNA of Pelobates cultripes (western spadefoot toad), 543 nucleotides long. Lineage: Eukaryota; Metazoa; Chordata; Amphibia; Anura; Pelobatidae. The record is from the annotation of a GenBank genome assembly.
UUAAUAAAAGUUUUGUUCUCUCCCCUAAUGGGAAAACAUUUUCCAUUUUGUCAUGAUAGAACUAAAUUAUUUGGACUAGUUUCUGUAAAGAAAAGAAAGCUCUAUGGGAAUAUGAUAUUAGGUCACCUUGAGUAUGAAUUACAGAUGUAAAAAAAAUGCUAUUAAAACUCUGAAAUGGAAGAAUUAAAGGACAUAGCUGAGAAUUGCACAUUGAAAGAUUUGGAUUGAUAACAACAGAUGUUUUACACGUAGAGUAACCAGACAUUGGAAUUGCUAAGAGAAAGCAGUGACUGAAAAUCCAAUAAUAGGAUUUGGAAUCACAAUGAUAGAUCACAAUGACUGGGUUCUUCAAUCAAACAUAGCAUGACUGGAAUCAUGACAAGGAAUAUAAAUGUGUAGAUUCUUGUAACCAUGCUGUUCUGAGUGGAUUACAUACAUAGUUUGGUUCAGUGAUAUCUAUGGCUAAAAAUAAAGCGGGCAGCAUACUCCAACCAAUUCAGGUUUACUUGACCAUAAUAUGUAUAUAAGAAAUAGGUGGUGAAU